RNAcentral lists this non-coding RNA (286 nucleotides) under Clostridium cavendishii DSM 21758. Its description in RNAcentral is "Bacterial small subunit ribosomal RNA". It matches the Rfam family "Bacterial small subunit ribosomal RNA", at positions 1 to 284 of the family's 1533-position model. The record is from Rfam by way of RNAcentral. Lineage: Bacteria; Bacillati; Bacillota; Clostridia; Eubacteriales; Clostridiaceae.
GAAAUUGAGAGUUUGAUCCUGGCUCAGGACGAACGCUGGCGGCGUGCUUAACACAUGCAAGUCGAGCGAGCAGAUUCCCUUCGGGGAUGAAGCUAGCGGCGGACGGGUGAGUAACACGUGGGCAACCUGCCUUAUAGAGGGGGAUAGCCUUCCGAAAGGAAGAUUAAUACCGCAUAACAUCAGAUUAUCGCAUGGUAGACUGAUCAAAGGAGCAAUCCGCUAUAAGAUGGGCCCGCGUCGCAUUAGCUAGUUGGUGAGGUAACGGCUCACCAAGGCGACGAUGCGU